UACGAAGGGGGCUAGCGUUGUUCGGAAUCACUGGGCGUAAAGGGCGCGUAGGCGGCUUUAUAAGUCGGGGGUGAAAGCCUGUGGCUCAACCACAGAAUUGCCUUCGACACUGUAGAGCUUGAGACCGGAAGAGGUAAGUGGAACUGCGAGUGUAGAGGUGAAAUUCGUAGAUAUUCGCAAGAACACCAGUGGCGAAGGCGGCUUACUGGUCCGGUUCUGACGCUGAGGCGCGAAAGCGUGGGGAGCAAACAGG
This 253-nucleotide ribosomal RNA is filed under the name uncultured bacterium. RNAcentral describes it as "partial 16S ribosomal RNA". It matches the Rfam family "Bacterial small subunit ribosomal RNA", at positions 524 to 776 of the family's 1533-position model. The record is from RNAcentral.